RNAcentral lists this ribosomal RNA (412 nucleotides) under Tambja brasiliensis. RNAcentral describes it as "partial small subunit ribosomal RNA". It matches the Rfam family "Archaeal large subunit ribosomal RNA", at positions 1920 to 2665 of the family's 2987-position model. Lineage: Eukaryota; Metazoa; Mollusca; Gastropoda; Nudibranchia; Polyceridae. The record is from RNAcentral.
AGCCUUAAGGUAAUUAUUUAAGGUCAGACCUGCCCAGUGUAAGAAGAUGUAUAAAUGGCCGCGGUACUUUGACCGUGCUAAGGUAGCGCAAUCAAUUGGUUUUUAAAUGGAGCCAGGUAUGAAUGGAGUUACGGGGUUUUUCUGUCUCCUAGCUAAUUUAUCGAAGUUACUAUGUAGGUGAAAAAGCCUAUGAAAAGAAAAAGGACGAGAAGACCCUUAGAGUUUUUUUUCAAAGCAGUUUGGUUGGGGCAACAUGGGAACAGAGUAAAAUUUAUCGAAUAUUUUAGAAGUAAACAAACUACCUUAGGGAUAACAGCAUAAUUUUAUAAAUAAGUUUGUGACCUCGAUGUUGGACUGGGAAACUACAAGGUUAGCCGCCUUUUAGGUAAGUUCUGUUCGAACUAUAAUUCCC